Molecule: ribosomal RNA, 301 nt
Filed under: uncultured bacterium
Lineage: Bacteria
Description: partial 16S ribosomal RNA
Rfam family: Bacterial small subunit ribosomal RNA
Source: RNAcentral
CAGCCGCCGCGGGAAUACGAAGGGGGCUAGCGUUACUCGGAAUUACUGGGCGUAAAGGGCGCGUAGGCGGCGCUCCAAGUUAGGCGUGAAAGUCCUGGGCUCAACCUGGGAACUGCGCUUAAGACUGGAGUGCUUGAGGAUGGAAGAGGGUUGUGGAAUUCCCAGUGUAGAGGUGAAAUUCGUAGAUAUUGGGAAGAACACCGGUGGCGAAGGCGGCAACCUGGUCCAUUACUGACGCUGAGGCGCGACAGCGUGGGGAGCAAACAGGAUUAGAUACCCCGGUAGUCCCUGUCUCUUAUAC